Gadus macrocephalus (Pacific cod) is the source of this 3090-nucleotide long non-coding RNA. RefSeq lists it as uncharacterized. Lineage: Eukaryota; Metazoa; Chordata; Actinopteri; Gadiformes; Gadidae. The transcript has 5 exons. The record is from RefSeq and is a predicted model, not a curated record.
UCGGAAUGUUCGGAUUCCAGUCGGACGGUUUGUGCUUCCCGCCGUGGAAGGUUCUGAGUGCGGUCACUUGAUUUAGUCCCAAUGGUUAGCAUAGAACGUUGUAGUCUUGACAACCAUAAGAAACCACCUGGCAGUUAGUUUGACGGGAGUCCCCUGAGGGAAUCUGGCGGAACGUUCUUGAUUGUAUUGAGUAACCUCGAGGCGUUGCCAAUGGAAACUACUUUUCAGUCGGUUUCCAUUGGGAAUUGUUGCCCCUAUCUUAAACAACUAAAGUUUGAUAAUAAAUACAUACUGAGACGUACGUCGUACAAUAUGUUGAUAAUUUCCGAUGGUUGCGCCGUACUUUUAACCACGAUGACCUUGCGGGACUCUCACUGCGUACAAAACUGAGUUCUACUUGCGGGCCCACUUUUGACGGGCUGAAGGCUGAAAAUCAUUUCAAGGUGGAAGAUAAUUUGACAUUUCUUCAACGGAACCCAGCUCCUGAAUAUGGCAGAGUACGUUUGAUUUAAUAUCGAUACUGCUUAGUGUUCUUUGUUACUUCAGCUUUUGUACGUUCUAAAUAUCGGCUGUCAAUUGCCACAGAAGUUAAACCCUACCCAAUGGAAUGACGUUAAACAACCACUUUGGUGCAGAGUUACCAACUGGAUAAUAUCAAAGCUAAAAUAAUGGCCGUCAUUCCCACAUGUUACAGUAGAAGAUACUCUAGAACUGUACAAGGUAAAAAAAGGUAACAUGUAGUUUGUCCCAAGGUGUCCGCCUCCUCACCCAGAGCCAGACCUCCACCUCCUCACCCAGAGCCAGACCUCCACCUCCUCACCCAGAGCCAGACCUCCACCUCCUCACCCAGAGCCAGACCUCUACCUCCUGUCAGAAGUCCUCCAGAACAGCUGAAAGGCGAGGCUGAGAGGCUGGGGACCGGAGGCUUGUGGUGCCAGGGUGGACCGGAGACUGAGGCUGGAGACCAGGGGCCUGCAGCACCGGACCAGAGGUAACCAUCACCAAGCUCAUCUGAAACACUAAAAUCCACGGUAGUUUAGGUCUGGUUUUGAUCAUCUUAUGACUUUAAAUCUGUGCCAAGCUGUGAGUUAAUUCAUACGGGGGUUACGCAAGAGUCAUAUGAGCCAUUAAUGUUACUAGUGCUGCUACGACCGUAGUGGAUGAAUUGCUGAACGCGACAAACUGCAGACGUUGUCUAAUUUAAGUGUUUAAAUUUGUCUUCCAUUUUACAAGUGAACCUCAGAUGCAGGAGGUGGGGUGUGUUGCGUCCCCAGAUGAUUUAGUGCUGAGACCAACUGUGUUUGAAACCAGACCAGGAUUCCAUGGCUGAAGGAGCUGAUGGAGGAGCCGUGCUGAAGGAGCUGAUGGAGGAGCCGUGCUGAAGGAGCUGAUGGAGGAGCCGUGCGGAAGGAGCUGAUGGAGGAGCCGUGCGGAAGGAGCUGAUGGAGGAGUCGUGAAGGCCCUGCCUGGUGGAGGACGUCUGUCGUGGGGUAGAUGGAGCUUGACUCUGAAGUGAUCAUCACACUCACUGCCACUUCUCGUAGAAUACUGCUACCACAAACUACCGGCGUUUGUACCAUAUAUACCAGACGACUACAUCUGUUUUACCACAUGUUGAAGCAAGACUUCCGCUGUUUGUUCCAGACCAGGACUCUGUCUGAGGAGAGCUGCUGGAGGAGCUGAGACGCUGGAGGACGACUAGGAAUCGACCAACAAGGAUUCCUCCUAAAACGUGUUUCUGGAGCGGAGGUGAGCUGGUAGGGGAGCCGUGAAUCUGGAGGAUGACCAUCACUCUACCAACAAGGGUUGUAAGUUUGUAUUAACCAAACAAACUGGAAAUAAAGGGCUUAAAAAUAAGACAAACUACACGUUUGUUACCAGACUUUAGGGCCAGACUCGCGCUGUUUGUUCCAGACCAGGACUCUGGCGGAGGAGAGCUGAUGGAGGAACCAAGACUCUGGAGGACGACAUCACUCCACCAACCAGGAUCCUCAGACAAAUUACGUUUGUAACCAGACCAGGAAUCUGGAGGACUGAUGGAGAAGCAUACAUCUGGAUGGCAAAUCCUGAGGACAACCAGGACUCUACCAUCAAGGAUUCCUCAUAAAUGUGCAUUAUCUGGACAUAGUGGACUAGACACAGCUGAACCUCACCUGAUCCUGUUUGGUCGGGGGUAGACACACCUGAGCUAAACCCGACCUGAUCCUGACAUCCUGCUGGUCCCGUCUCCUCAGUUCAUCUGAGCCUCGUCCUCCAGAAGACCUGCUGAGCUCAGCAGUCUGAGGCUGAUGGAUCAAUGACCUCCAGUGGGAGUGAUCUUCUUGACCCCCCACCUGACCGUGUGCUUCCACACGCCUUUCCCUCACGUCUGUCACUAACCUCACUACUUCACUACUCUCUACUGCUUCCUCUUUUCUUCCUUCUCUGUGGUUCGAACCUUUACACGGAAGGCGCGUCUUCCUGCCCUCAGAGGGUUUAGCGUUAGGGUUGAGAGUCAGGGUUUAGAGUCAGGGACAGAGCUGGUCAGGGAGGACUGCUUUUACAAAAACCUCUUCACUUACUUUCGGAAUGGUGGUGACAUUUUGAAAAGAUUCAUUUGGGAAAAUGUUUUCCUCUGCUUUCUUUUACAAAAUUGUAUCAAACUUAUGUCAAGUGUCUUUGUUUAUAUAUUAAAAUCCCACAUUGACUUCUACAUGUUUGUUGCGGUUCAUUUAAUUUUCCUUUAACUUGGUUAAUGUCAAGCUAAACUCCCGCAAUACAUUUAAUAUACAUGAUUGUUAUUCUGCAAUGUUCACAUAAUCCAUUUUGUAAAAAUAUGAAACCUCAAUAUUACUACUAAAUUCGAGCCUAUUAAUGUAUUUAACAAUGUACAUACUGCCCCGCAGGCCAUUCUCUGCUACUACGACACGUUCAAUCCACCAACCCGUCUCACAUCAAUGUACUAUAGCUACGUUGGUUCAAACGGAAAAUGUAGUUUGGUGUGAGACUGUUGUCCAGCAGAGGGAGCUGUUAUACACCUUAAUUAUACAGAAAUGUCUGUAUUUACAUUUUAAAAUGUUCAUGGGCUGGUCUAGUUUGUCUGCAAAUAAC